CAGCAGCCGCGGGAAUACGAAGGGGGCUAGCGUUGUUCGGAAUUACUGGGCGUAAAGCGCGUGUAGGCGGGUCCUUAAGUCAGGGGUGAAAUGCCAAGGCUCAACCUUGGAACUGCCUUUGAUACUGGGGAUCUUGAGUCCGGGAGAGGUGAGUGGAACUGCGAGUGUAGAGGUGAAAUUCGUAGAUAUUCGCAAGAACACCAGUGGCGAAGGCGGCUCACUGGCCCGGAACUGACGCUGAGACGCGAAAGCGUGGGGAGCAAACAGGAUUAGAUACCCCCGUAGUCCCUGUCUCUUAUAC
RNAcentral lists this ribosomal RNA (301 nucleotides) under uncultured bacterium. RNAcentral's name for it is "partial 16S ribosomal RNA". It matches the Rfam family "Bacterial small subunit ribosomal RNA", at positions 509 to 807 of the family's 1533-position model. The record is from RNAcentral.